This 1242-nucleotide long non-coding RNA is filed under the name Coccomyxa subellipsoidea. RNAcentral describes it as "long non-coding RNA (CSUB_LNC000379)". Lineage: Eukaryota; Viridiplantae; Chlorophyta; Trebouxiophyceae; Coccomyxaceae. The record is from RNAcentral.
GGUUGGAAGCAGCUCUUCGCCCGGACUUUCAAGCAUAGCAGCAAGUAGAGUGUACGCACAUGGGCCACACCUCAAUGAAUUAGCCCCAAUGCUUUUAGGCAAUUUGCAGAAUAUUGCAGUAUUAGUCCUUGGAGAUGCAACAUUGACAAACCCACACAACUUUGCGGCAGUUGUCUCCGUUGAGUCUGGCUCAAGUCUCUUACGCAAUCAUGUACAAUAUCUGAAAUGCUUAAGCAGGAAUUGAGGGUUGAUUCAAAACUGACUGCUUCCUCGUCAAGAAGCCAUGAAGCCAAAUUUUCUCAGUGGAUUGCUGCCAGCAUCACUGUCGUGGACAACCAGCAAUCUUUUCGCGUUUAAAAAAGGGUUUAGGAAGAUAAAGAAGUGCCCCAACACCUUCUACGCAUCAGGUGUCGCCUGUUUGUGUGACCCACGAUGGACGUGACGUUUCUCAUAUUUCGCACCACUUGACCACUUUGCUUCGCGUUUGCGUUGACUCUACUUCCUUUUGGAAACUGCAGAAACAUUGUCUAGAGGUGAACAGGUGAGCACAGCCCUCCGUCGCCUCUGCAGUUUUUUCUGGCCUGAUGAACCCACUGACACAGGACUAUCAAAUUGACCAUUGCGAUUGAUCGACAGAUUAGUAGCUGCAGGGCUAUGGGGCCGACCGCUGUCUAGAUGACAAACCAAAUACGGCGCCUAUUGUCCAUUCAGGUGUGUCCUUGUCUGGGGUGCCCCUUCUGCACAAACGACAGACGUGAAAGUGCACAUCCUGCUGGAACUCGUGUUGCAGCUGAGCCAUUUGCACCCUCAGGAGACAAUCAGCGGAGCGCUGUCUUGAUCGUUCCCGGCUUUGGAGGCUGGUCUGGUCUCUACAGCGAUAUGGCAACAGCUCUGCGCAGUCAAGGCCACCCGGAAGGUCUGACACAGUGACCCUCACGCUGGUGAAAUCUAGCGCACGUGCACUUGUCUCACAGGCAUGUACAAUCCUAUCCAUCUUAGGGAUGCAUGUAUGCCAGAGUCAUUAAGGAGGCAAUCUGUGUUCUUGCAGUGACGGUGGUUCCAGUGAGCACGCACGAGUGGCUGCCAAACGUGUUUGCCGGCCAAUCUUUUGCCUGGUAUCUGUCUCGUGUGCUCACUCAGCUGGACAGGCUCUUUGAAAGGCAUGGCUUGGUCUCUUUAGUAGCACACUCCCAGGGAGGAGUUCUUGCUUUAAUCCUGCUCGGAAGUCAGCCUUAUGAUGGU